RNAcentral lists this ribosomal RNA (503 nucleotides) under uncultured bacterium. RNAcentral's name for it is "partial 16S ribosomal RNA". It matches the Rfam family "Bacterial small subunit ribosomal RNA", at positions 30 to 523 of the family's 1533-position model. The record is from RNAcentral.
AUUGAACGCUGGCGGCAGGCUUAACACAUGCAAGUCGAGCGGGGUGAUGGUGCUUGCACUAUCACUUAGCGGCGGACGGGUGAGUAAUGCUUAGGAAUCUGCCUAUUAGUGGGGGACAACAUCUCGAAAGGGAUGCUAAUACCGCAUACGUCCUACGGGAGAAAGCAGGGGAUCACUUGUGACCUUGCGCUAAUAGAUGAGCCUAAGUCGGAUUAGCUAGUUGGUGGGGUAAAGGCCUACCAAGGCGACGAUCUGUAGCGGGUCUGAGAGGAUGAUCCGCCACACUGGGACUGAGACACGGCCCAGACUCCUCCGGGAGGCAGCAGUGGGGAAGAUGGAACAAUGGGGGGAACCCUGAUCCAGCCAUGCCGCGUGUGUGAAGAAGGCCUUAUGGUUGUAAAGCACUUUAAGCGAGGAGGAGGCUCUUUUGGUUAAUACCCAAGAUGAGUGGACGUUACUCGCAGAAUAAGCACCGGCUAACUCUGUGCCAGCCGCCGCAGUAA